UGACGAGAAGACCCCGUCAAACUUUAAUUAUUAUAUAUAAAAGUGAAAAUAUAAAAUAUAAAUUAAUUUUAGUUGGGGCAACUGGGAGGGAUAAAAAUCUUUUAUUAAAUCAUUUAUAGUAAUAUUUAUAUUUAUGAUCCAAAUUAGUUAAUUUUGAACUUAGAAU
This 166-nucleotide ribosomal RNA is filed under the name Ledella ultima. Its description in RNAcentral is "partial 16S ribosomal RNA". The record is from RNAcentral. Lineage: Eukaryota; Metazoa; Mollusca; Bivalvia; Nuculanida sp.; Nuculanidae.